CAAUAGCGUAUAUUUAAGUUGCUGCAGUUAAAAAGCUCGUAGUUGGAUUUCGGGUGGGAAUGGCCGGUCCGCCGUUUCGGUGUGCACUUGCUACGCCCACCUUGCUGCCGGGGACGUGCUCUUGAGUUCACGCUCGGGACACGGAGUCGGCGAGGUUAUUUUGAGUAAAUUAGAGUGUUCAAAGCAGGCCUACGCUCUGAAUACAUUAGCAUGGAAUAACACGAUAGGACUCUGGCCUAUCUUGUUGGUCUGUAGGACCGGAGUAAUGAUUAAGAGGGACAGUCGGGGGCAUUCGUAUUUCAUUGUCAGAGGUGAAAUUCUUGGAUUUAUGAAAGACGAACUACUGCGAAAGCAUUUGCCAAGGAUGUUUUCAUUAA
Molecule: ribosomal RNA, 377 nt
Filed under: uncultured eukaryote
Lineage: Eukaryota
Description: partial 18S ribosomal RNA
Rfam family: Eukaryotic small subunit ribosomal RNA
Source: RNAcentral